GUUUAUAUAGUUUAAAAAAAACAUUACAUUUUCAUUGUAAAAAAAAAAUUUUAUUAUUUUUAUAAAUU
Molecule: transfer RNA, 68 nt
Filed under: Zeugodacus triangularis
Lineage: Eukaryota; Metazoa; Arthropoda; Insecta; Diptera; Tephritidae
Description: tRNA-Glu
Source: RNAcentral